This 492-nucleotide ribosomal RNA is filed under the name uncultured bacterium. Its description in RNAcentral is "partial 16S ribosomal RNA". It matches the Rfam family "Bacterial small subunit ribosomal RNA", at positions 30 to 507 of the family's 1533-position model. The record is from RNAcentral.
AUUGAACGCUGGCGGCAUGCUUUACACAUGCAAGUCGAACGGUAACAGGCCUUCGGGUGCUGACGAGUGGCGCACGGGUGAGUAAUGCAUCGGAACGUGCCCAGAGGUGGGGGAUAACGCAGCGAAAGCUGUGCUAAUUCCGCAUGUGAUCUGAGGAUGAAAGCGGGGGACCAGGCAGCAAUGUUUGGCCUCGCGCCUUUGGAGCGGCCGAUGUCAGAUUAGGUAGUUGGUGGGGUAAAGGCCUACCAAGCCGACGAUCUGUAGCUGGUCUGAGAGGACGACCGGCCACACUGGGACUGAGACACGGCCCAGACUCCUACGGGAGGCAGCAGUGGGGAAUUUUGGACAAUGGGCGCAAGCCUGAUCCAGCAAUGCCGCGUGCGGGAAGAAGGCCUUCGGGUUGUAAACCGCUUUUGUACGGAACGAAAAGGCUCUGGCUAAUACCUGGGGCUGAUGACGGUACCGUAAGAAUAAGCACCGGCUAACUACGUG